This 253-nucleotide ribosomal RNA is filed under the name uncultured bacterium. RNAcentral describes it as "partial 16S ribosomal RNA". It matches the Rfam family "Bacterial small subunit ribosomal RNA", at positions 524 to 776 of the family's 1533-position model. The record is from RNAcentral.
UACGUAGGGACCAAGCGUUGUUCGGAUUUACUGGGCGUAAAGGGCGCGUAGGCGGUUCGUUAAGUCCUGUGUGAAAUCCCCCGGCUCAACUGGGGAACUGCACAGGAAACUAGCGGGCUUGAGUUCGGGAGAGGGAAGCGGAAUUCCGGGUGUAGCGGUGAAAUGCGUAGAUAUCCGGAGGAACACCGGUGGCGAAGGCGGCUUCCUGGACCGACACUGACGCUGAGGCGCGAAAGCUAGGGGAGCAAACGGG